Molecule: ribosomal RNA, 727 nt
Filed under: Bdellovibrio sp. CHA1
Lineage: Bacteria; Pseudomonadati; Bdellovibrionota; Bdellovibrionia; Bdellovibrionales; Pseudobdellovibrionaceae
Description: bacterial SSU rRNA
Rfam family: Bacterial small subunit ribosomal RNA
Source: RNAcentral
GAGGAACGCGUGGAUAAUCUGCCUUAGAGUGGGGGAUAACUAGUCGAAAGAUUAGCUAAUACCGCAUAAGACCACAGGAGCUGCGGCUCAAGGGGUCAAAGGUUUUUCGCUCUAAGAUGAGUCCGCGUAAGAUUAGCUAGUUGGUGAGGUAACGGCUCACCAAGGCGACGAUCUUUAACUGGUCUGAGAGGAUGAUCAGUCACACUGGAACUGAGACACGGUCCAGACUCCUACGGGAGGCAGCAGUAGGGAAUAUUGCACAAUGGAGGAAACUCUGAUGCAGCGACGCCGCGUGAGUGAUGAAGGCCUUCGGGUCGUAAAGCUCUGUCGCAGGGGAAUAACACAAUGAAUGUACCCUGUAAGAAAGGAUCGGCUAACUUCGUGCCAGCAGCCGCGGUAAGACGAGGGAUCCUAGCGUUGUUCGGAAUUAUUGGGCGUAAAGCGGAUGUAGGUGGCUUUGUAAGUCAGAUGUGAAAGCCCAGGGCUCAACCCUGGAAGUGCAUUUGAUACUGCGAAGCUUGAGUGUCGGAGAGGUUACUAGAAUUGUUGGUGUAGUGGUGAAAUACGUAGAUAUCAACAGGAAUACCGGAGGCGAAGGCGGGUAACUGGCCGAACACUGACACUGAGAUCCGAAAGCGUGGGGAUCAAACAGGAUUAGAUACCCUGGUAGUCCACGCCGUAAACGAUGGAUACUUGUUGUUGGAGGUAUUGACCCCUUCAGUGACGA